CUUAAGGAAUGGAUUGAGGAAUGUAAAAUAAGGUCAUGCAGAAUAAGGCAAUAAUAUGUACUAAAAGUACAUAUUAAAAGUACUAAAAAAAAACAACCAAUAUCCUAGUAUUACGCAUGCUAAUAAUAAGGAACUAAUUAAUAGAGAGAAUUGGACCCUAAAAUAAAGUGUUACCAGAAAAAACAACACAUGCUUCUUUUACACAAGGUUUCUUCUAUUUGAUUUUGGACAGAUAGUAGUGCAAAUUACAGUUUGUUC
This is a non-coding RNA of Pimephales promelas (fathead minnow), 258 nucleotides long. NCBI's taxonomy places the organism in Eukaryota, Metazoa, Chordata, Actinopteri, Cypriniformes, Leuciscidae. The record is from RefSeq and is a predicted model, not a curated record.